Molecule: ribosomal RNA, 250 nt
Filed under: uncultured bacterium
Lineage: Bacteria
Description: partial 16S ribosomal RNA
Rfam family: Bacterial small subunit ribosomal RNA
Source: RNAcentral
GACAGAGGGUGCAAACGUUGUUCGGAAUUACUGGGCGUAAAGCGAGUGUAGGCGGUUUGGUAAGUCGGAUGUGAAAGCCCUGGGCUCAACCCAGGAAGUGCAUUCGAUACUGUCAAGCUAGAGUAUCGGAGAGGUUGGUGGAAUUCUCGGUGUAGAGGUGAAAUUCGUAGAUAUCGAGAGGAACACCGGUGGCGAAGGCGGCCAACUGGACGAAUACUGACGCUGAGACUCGAAAGCGUGGGGAGCAAAC